AAGGACUGGAGACUUUCUCUCUCCCUCUAUUGCGUAUUGAUAAUCUGUACAGCAAACAGCGACUGUCGUUGAGGUGUGAAGAGGUUUAAGACUGUGGUGCGAGGAUGUUCUUCCACGCGCGGUGGUAGUGAGUGGUGGGCACGCGGUUCGGUUGUUACUAAUUAUGGCGGUAUGGUGAGUCGCGUGAAUGGAAAUCGCCUGUAGGUGGGUAGAUAUGGGUGAUUCCAGCAUCAUAAAGUGUGGGGCCGCCUAAAUUAAAGAUGAGAUAAUCCACAGAAAUCUGGACGAGAUUAUAGUGAAAUGAAAGUUUGAAUGCAGUAAUAAAGUGGCGAAAUUUUCUAGGUUACAAUGUCAUUAAAUUACAUGAUGUUAGUUUAUU
Long non-coding RNA from Ipomoea nil (Japanese morning glory), 379 nucleotides. RefSeq lists it as uncharacterized. The record is from RefSeq and is a predicted model, not a curated record. Lineage: Eukaryota; Viridiplantae; Streptophyta; Magnoliopsida; Solanales; Convolvulaceae. The transcript has 2 exons.